Camellia sinensis is the source of this 1316-nucleotide non-coding RNA. Lineage: Eukaryota; Viridiplantae; Streptophyta; Magnoliopsida; Ericales; Theaceae. The record is from RefSeq and is a predicted model, not a curated record.
GUUCAAAAAAAGCAGAGAAAAGAAUUAGAAAGGAGCGUGAAGCUAUAAUUGCUGCGACAAUGGAUGAAAGAAGAAAUGCAUCAUUCAGAAUUUUAGAUGAGUGUUCUACUUCUCCACAUGUUGAAUCACAUGAUAUGGAAGGACUUGUAGACUCCACUCAAGUACCAAAGAAGAAAACUAGGGGGGCAUCAAAGUUAAAGAUGCAUGCAAGGAAAACAGAAGUGUGAUGAAAUUGACUUCAAUGAAAGGAAUCAGCCUGUGGGACCUGAGUCAGUUAAACUAUCGACUUUAGAAGGGAUCUUGGCAUGAGUGAUGGUGCUAAUAACCACAGAGAGAUGGCCUGAUAUUCCAGAAGAGGAUCCUAUUGCAAAACGGUCACUGGCAUCACCACAAAGAAAUGUUUUUGAAAAUAAGGAUGUUGCAAUGGCAAAUGAUGCCCUCCAAACUGUAGUCAAGGAAAGCGGAAUGAAAGAAUCUGCAGUCUCAGAGUUACAGAAAAGGUUAGAAAUUUCCGUCUCACUUUCUAGCCCCGAGACUCAAAUCAUAGACGAAUUGGAAGACACAGAAUUUCUUGAACUAGCAUCACGGUUGAUUGGAGAAAAUGUUGCUGGCAAUGAGCAGAUUUCACAUAGUCAGCUGAGGCAGUUCGUGACCAUUGGAGAAAAUCCACUCCACAAUCAAUAAAACUGAAGGAGCUCAGCCCCCUACUUCGUGACUAGGAAUGCUUGAUUGCACGCCAUCAUAUUUGUUAAUUUGGAAGAGCUUUUGCUGCACAUUCUCAUUUGCUUCUUAUUUGGAUGGCACCUGCUGCAGGGAGCACUCGAACAUUGUUCUUGUCCACUACCGUGAAGUAAAGGUUACAAAUUUAUUCUAUUAUUUCUUUGUUUCUUCAUUGAAGAAAUUCACAAUUGAUAAUUUGUAUACUGUAUCAGAUGAUUCUUGAGCCAAUAUAUAUUUUAAAUAAUGCUGGCUAUUUUAGAAUAACAUCGCUUUCUAGCUUUCCCACCUCUUUUGUUUCAAGGUUUCUUGUGUAUAUAUAACUUCCACAUAUUGGAAUCUUGCUACAAAAUAUAAUCUAAUGUGUUUUUUUGCCCAACUUUUCACAUCCGUGCUAGUUUCUUUUUGGACUAAUGGUCAUUACAAUGUUCAUGUUACUCGUAAGAUUCCCGACUUAGUGGCACUUCUAUGAUUUGGAAAGCUCCAUCAUGGGUUUUAGUACGUUACAUUGUUAUGUUUCUUGUUGGUGCUUAAUUGAUAUUGUUUUGGCCAUGGCUAUUCCAGAGUACUUAACGUUACACUUUUAUGUUUCUUGUUUU